RNAcentral lists this long non-coding RNA (702 nucleotides) under Equus asinus (donkey). RNAcentral describes it as "lncRNA (ENSEASG00005029872.1)". The record is from RNAcentral. Lineage: Eukaryota; Metazoa; Chordata; Mammalia; Perissodactyla; Equidae.
AAAGCCUCCAGUGCCAUGUUGAAUAAGAGUGGUGAGAGUGGGCACACUUGUCUUGUUCCUGUUCUCAGAGGGAUGGCUUUCAAUUUUUCCCCAUUGAGUGUGAUGUUGGCUAGAUUGGCUGGGGGUUCAUCAAACUGAUCCAUUUCCCGAACUGCGAGCAGAAGUGAGGUGAGCCAGCUCCAGUCUCCUCUCCGGUCUGUCACCACCACCCUGAAGCUUCAUGUUGAAGACGAAGGGCCGCACAGAAGGGGUCCCGGUCCGAGUCACUGCUCAGGGGAGAGCUGCCCGAUGAUCAAGAAUAUCUGUUUGGACGUGAGCGAGUUUGGGCUAUGCAACAGGUCCUGACCUGGCCUGUUAAGUAUGCAUUGGACAUCUGCUUUAAACAUUCACAUGUCCCAAGGCCAAGAAUGAUGCCCUUAACGACAGGGACGUAGCUUUCCGACCUCCAUAUCGGCAUUUCCUUAAGGAUAAGCAUCUCUUCCUGGAAACUGAGGAUUAAUUACCGACCUGCUGUGCUCACCUUGUGACCUCUGACCUGCUGUGCUGUGACUGUUGUAAAAGAGAUAUUCCUGUGAUAUGUGAUGUCUGCUCUUUGCUUCAAGACGAUAUAUAACCGCUCUGUACACCCCACUUCUUGGGCGUUUUUCCUUAUAAAUCAAGGAUUAUGGAUUAUUUGUAUCGACAAUAGUAAUUACACUGCAA